RNAcentral lists this ribosomal RNA (447 nucleotides) under uncultured bacterium. RNAcentral's name for it is "SSU rRNA". It matches the Rfam family "Bacterial small subunit ribosomal RNA", at positions 26 to 518 of the family's 1533-position model. The record is from RNAcentral.
AGAGCGAACGCUGGCGGCAGGCUUAACACAUGCAAGUCGAACGCUCAUCUUCGGAUGGGAGUGGCAGACGGGUGAGUAACACGUGGGAACGUACCCUUCGGUUCGGAACAACUCUGGGAAACUGGAGCUAAUACCGGAUACGCCCUUUUGGGGAAAGGUUUACUGCCGAAGGAUCGGCCCGCGUCUGAUUAGCUAGUUGGUGGGGUAACGGCCUACCAAGGCGACGAUCAGUAGCUGGUCUGAGAGGAUGAUCAGCCACAUUGGGACUGAGACACGGCCCAAACUCCUACGGGAGGCAGCAGUGGGGAAUAUUGGACAAUGGGCGCAAGCCUGAUCCAGCCAUGCCGCGUGAGUGAUGAAGGCCUUAGGGUUGUAAAGCUCUUUUGUCCGGGACGAUAAUGACGGUACCGGAAGAAUAAGCCCGGCUAACUUCGUGCCAGCAGCCGC